RNAcentral lists this ribosomal RNA (253 nucleotides) under uncultured bacterium. RNAcentral's name for it is "partial 16S ribosomal RNA". It matches the Rfam family "Bacterial small subunit ribosomal RNA", at positions 524 to 776 of the family's 1533-position model. The record is from RNAcentral.
UACGUAGGAGACGAGCGUUGUCCGGAGUUACUGGGCGUAAAGGGUGCGCAGGUGGCGGCGCGCGUGGGGGGUGAAAUCGCCCGGCUCAACUGGGCGGGGUCAGCGGAUACGGUGUGGCUCGAGCAAGCUAGGGGGCAAUGGAAUUCCCGGUGUAGUGGUGGAAUGCGUAGAUAUCGGGAGGAACACCAGUGGCGAAGGCGGUUGCCUGGAGCUUUGCUGACGCUGAGGCGCGAAAGCGUGGGGAGCGAUCCGG